CGCGUAGGCGGCUUGUUAAGUCUGGUGUGAAAGCCCGAGGCUCAACCUCGGUAAGCACUGGAAACUGGCAAGCUUGAGUACUGGAGAGGGUCGUGGAAUUCCCAGUGUAGCAGUGAAAUGCGUAGAGAUUGGGAGGAACACCAGUGGCGAAGGCGGCGACCUGGACAGAUACUGACGCUGAGGCGCGAAAGCUGGGGGAGCAAACGGGAUUAGAUACCCCGGUAGUCCCAGCCGUAAACGAUGGAUACUAGGUGUAGGAGGUAUCGACCCCUUCUGUGCCGCAGCUAACGCAAUAAGUAUCCCGCCUGGGGAGUACGGCCGCAAGGUUGAAA
Molecule: ribosomal RNA, 332 nt
Filed under: uncultured bacterium
Lineage: Bacteria
Description: bacterial SSU rRNA
Rfam family: Bacterial small subunit ribosomal RNA
Source: RNAcentral